RNAcentral lists this small nuclear RNA (65 nucleotides) under Propithecus coquereli (Coquerel's sifaka). Lineage: Eukaryota; Metazoa; Chordata; Mammalia; Primates; Indriidae. The record is from RNAcentral.
GUGCUUGCUUCAAAAGCACAUAUACUAAAAUUGGAAUGAUACAAAGAAGAUUAGCAUGGCCCCUG